RNAcentral lists this ribosomal RNA (216 nucleotides) under Glomeromycotina sp. RNAcentral's name for it is "partial small subunit ribosomal RNA". The stretch from base 40 to 216 matches the Rfam family "Eukaryotic small subunit ribosomal RNA", at positions 686 to 864 of the family's 1831-position model. Lineage: Eukaryota; Fungi; Glomeromycota. The record is from RNAcentral.
GGGUCAGUGGGUUGGUCGUGCCACCGGUACGUACUGGUCUCACUGAUUCCUCCUUCCUGAAGAACCGUAAUGCCAUUAAUUUGGUGUUGCGGGGAAACAGGACUGUUACUUUGAAAAAAUUAGAGUGUUUAAAGCAAGCUAACGCUUGAAUACAAUAGCAUGGAAUAAUGAAAUAGGACGAUCGAUCCUAUUUUGUUGGUUCCUAGGAUUGACGUA